GGUAUAGCUCAGUGGUAGAGUAUGUGCUUAGCAUGCACGAGGUCCUGGGUUCAAUUGCCAGUACC
This 65-nucleotide transfer RNA is filed under the name Camelus ferus (Wild Bactrian camel). It matches the Rfam family "tRNA". Rfam says of the family: Transfer RNA (tRNA) molecules are approximately 80 nucleotides in length. Their secondary structure includes four short double-helical elements and three loops (D, anti-codon, and T loops). Further hydrogen bonds mediate the characteristic L-shaped molecular structure. tRNAs have two regions of fundamental functional importance: the anti-codon, which is responsible for specific mRNA codon recognition, and the 3' end, to which the tRNAs corresponding amino acid is attached (by aminoacyl-tRNA synthetases). tRNAs cope with the degeneracy of the genetic code in two manners: having more than one tRNA (with a specific anti-codon) for a particular amino acid; and 'wobble' base-pairing, i.e. permitting non-standard base-pairing at the 3rd anti-codon position. The record is from Rfam by way of RNAcentral. Lineage: Eukaryota; Metazoa; Chordata; Mammalia; Artiodactyla; Camelidae.